CCUACGGGAGGCAGCAGUAGGGAAUCUUCCACAAUGGGCGAAAGCCUGAUGGAGCAACGCCGCGUGGGUGAAGAAGGUCUUCGGAUCGUAAAACCCUGUUGUCAGAGAAGAAAGUGCGUGAGAGUAACUGUUCACGUUUCGACGGUAUCUAACCAGAAAGCCACGGCUAACUACGUGCCAGCAGCCGCGGUAAUACGUAGGUGGCAAGCGUUAUCCGGAUUUACUGGGCGUAAAGGGAACGCAGGCGGUCUUUUAAGUCUGAUGUGAAAGCCUUCGGCUUAACCGGGGUAGUGCAUUGGAAACUGGGAGACUUGAGUGCAGAAGAGGAGAGUGGAACUCCAUGUGUAGCGGUGAAAUGCGUAGAUAUAUGGAGGAACACCAGUGGCGAAAGCGACUCUCUGGUCUGUAACUGACGCUGAGGUUCGAAAGCGUGGGUAGCAAACAGGAUUAGAUACCCUGGUAGUC
RNAcentral lists this ribosomal RNA (465 nucleotides) under uncultured bacterium. RNAcentral describes it as "partial 16S ribosomal RNA". It matches the Rfam family "Bacterial small subunit ribosomal RNA", at positions 338 to 795 of the family's 1533-position model. The record is from RNAcentral.